RNAcentral lists this ribosomal RNA (274 nucleotides) under uncultured bacterium. RNAcentral describes it as "partial 16S ribosomal RNA". It matches the Rfam family "Bacterial small subunit ribosomal RNA", at positions 523 to 796 of the family's 1533-position model. The record is from RNAcentral.
AUACGGAGGGUCCAAGCGUUAUCCGGAUUCAUUGGGUUUAAAGGGUCCGCAGGCGGGGAAAUAAGUCAGUGGUGAAAGCCUACAGCUCAACUGUAGAACUGCCAUUGAUACUGUUUUUCUUGAGUAUAGAUGAAGUGGGCGGAAUAUAUCAUGUAGCGGUGAAAUGCAUAGAUAUGAUAUAGAACACCGAUUGCGAAGGCAGCUCACUAAACUAUUACUGACGCUCAGGGACGAAAGCGUGGGGAGCGAACAGGAUUAGAUACCCCAGUAGUCC